This 75-nucleotide transfer RNA is filed under the name Clostridia bacterium. RNAcentral's name for it is "tRNA-Asn". It matches the Rfam family "tRNA". Rfam says of the family: Transfer RNA (tRNA) molecules are approximately 80 nucleotides in length. Their secondary structure includes four short double-helical elements and three loops (D, anti-codon, and T loops). Further hydrogen bonds mediate the characteristic L-shaped molecular structure. tRNAs have two regions of fundamental functional importance: the anti-codon, which is responsible for specific mRNA codon recognition, and the 3' end, to which the tRNAs corresponding amino acid is attached (by aminoacyl-tRNA synthetases). tRNAs cope with the degeneracy of the genetic code in two manners: having more than one tRNA (with a specific anti-codon) for a particular amino acid; and 'wobble' base-pairing, i.e. permitting non-standard base-pairing at the 3rd anti-codon position. The record is from RNAcentral. Lineage: Bacteria; Bacillati; Bacillota; Clostridia. RNAcentral also lists the same sequence under 1 other name.
UCCUCGGUAGCUCAAUGGUAGAGCGCUCGGCUGUUAACCGAGUGGCUGCAGGUUCGAGUCCUGCCCGGGGAGCCA